RNAcentral lists this ribosomal RNA (479 nucleotides) under uncultured bacterium. Its description in RNAcentral is "partial 16S ribosomal RNA". It matches the Rfam family "Bacterial small subunit ribosomal RNA", at positions 28 to 507 of the family's 1533-position model. The record is from RNAcentral.
GAUGAACGCUGGCGGCGUGCUUAACACAUGCAAGUCGAACGAAGCACUUAUCUUUGAUUCUUCGGAUGAAGAGGUUUGUGACUGAGUGGCGGACGGGUGAGUAACGCGUGGGUAACCUGCCUCAUACAGGGGGAUAACAGUUAGAAAUGACUGCUAAUACCGCAUAAGACCACGGAGCCGCAUGGCUCAGUGGGAAAAACUCCGGUGGUAUGAGAUGGACCCGCGUCUGAUUAGGUAGUUGGUGGGGUAACGGCCUACCAAGCCAACGAUCAGUAGCCGACCGGGUAGGGUGACCGGCCACAUUGGGACUGAGACACGGCCCAAACUCCGACGGGAGGCAGCAGUGGAGAAUAUUGCACGAGGGGGGAAACCCUGAUGCAGCGACGCCGCGUGAGCGAAGAAGUAUUUCGGUAUGUAAAGCUCUAUCAGCAGGGAAGAAAAUGACGGUACCUGACUAAGAAGCACCGGCUAAAUACGUG